GACAGAGGGUGCAAACGUUGCUCGGAAUUACUGGGCGUAAAGCGCGUGUAGGCGGAUCGCUAAGUCAGGUGUGAAAUCCCUGGGCUCAACCCGGGAACUGCAUCUGAAACUGGCGGUCUUGAGUGCUGGAGAGGGAGGCGGAAUUCCUGGUGUAGCGGUGAAAUGCGCAGAUAUCAGGAGGAACACCGGUGGCGAAGGCGGAUCACUGGCCCGAUACUGACGCUGAGGAGCGAAAGCGUGGGGAGCGAACAGG
This 253-nucleotide ribosomal RNA is filed under the name uncultured bacterium. RNAcentral's name for it is "partial 16S ribosomal RNA". It matches the Rfam family "Bacterial small subunit ribosomal RNA", at positions 524 to 776 of the family's 1533-position model. The record is from RNAcentral.